AGUGGCGGACGGGUGAGUAAUGCAUGGGAAUCUGCCUAUUAGUGGGGGACAACACGGGGAAACUCGUGCUAAUACCGCAUACGCUAUUGGAGAAAGAGGGCCUAUACUUGUAAGCUCUUGCUAUUGCAUGAGCCUAUGUCGGAUUAGUUAGUUGGUGAGGUAAUGGCUUACCAAGACUACAAUCCGUAGCUGGUUUGAGAGGAUGAUCAGCCACACUGGGACUGAGACACGGCCCAGACUCCUACGGGAGGCAGCAGUAGGGAGUAUUGGACAAUGGGCGCAAGCCUGAUCCAGCAAUGCCGCGUGUGUGAAGAAGGCCUGCGGGUUGUAAAGCACUUUCAAUUGGGAAGAAAGAUUUAGAGUUAAUACCUCUUAAUAUUGACGUUACCAAUAGAAGAAGCACCGGCUAACUCUGUGCCAGCAGCCGCGGUAAUACAGAGGGUGCGAGCGUUAAUCGGAAUUACUGGGCGUAAAGAGUACGUAGGUGGUUAAAUCAGUCGGAUGUGAAAGCCCCAGGCUUAACUUGGGAAUUGCAUUCGAUACUGUUUGACUAGAGUACAGUAGAGAGAAGCGGAAUUCCUAGUGUAGAGGUGAAAUUCGUAGAUAUCGGGAGGAAUACCGGUGGCGAAGGCGACUUUCUGGCUGAAUACUGACGCUGAGGCGCGAAAGCGUGGGGAGCAAACAGGAUUAGAUACCCUGGUAGUCCACGCCGUAAACGAUGUCUACUAGCCGUUGGGAUCCUUGAGGUCUUAGUGGCGCAGCUAACGCAAUAAGUAGACCGCCUGGGGAGUACGGUCGCAAGAUUAAAACUCAAAUGAAUUGACGGGGGCCCGCACAAGCGGUGGAGCAUGUGGUUUAAUUCGAUGCAACGCGAAGAACCUUACCUGCUCUUGACAUCCAGAGAAUUCGCUAGAGAUAGCUUAGUGCCUUCGGGAACUCUGAGACAGGUGCUGCAUGGCUGUCGUCAGCUCGUGUUGUGAAAUGUUGGGUUAAGUCCCGUAACGAGCGCAACCCUUAUCCUUAUUUGCCAGCGGGUCAUGCCGGGAACUCUAAGGAGACUGCCGGUGACAAACCGGAGGAAGGUGGGGACGACGUCAAGUCAUCAUGGCCCUUACGAGUUGGGCUACACACGUGCUACAAUGGCCGGUACAGAGGGCUGCAAACCCGCGAGGGGGAGCCAAUCUCACAAAACCGGUCGUAGUCCGGAUCGGAGUCUGCAACUCGACUCCGUGAAGUUGGAAUCGCUAGUAAUCGUGGAUCAGAAUGCCACGGUGAAUACGUUCCCGGGCCUUGUACACACCGCCCGUCACACCAUGGGAGUGGAUUGCACCAGAAAGUAGGUAGCCUAACUUUGGAGGGCGCUUACCACGGUGUGGUUGACGACUGGGGUGAAGUCGUAACAAGGUAACC
This 1410-nucleotide ribosomal RNA is filed under the name uncultured prokaryote. Its description in RNAcentral is "partial 16S ribosomal RNA". It matches the Rfam family "Bacterial small subunit ribosomal RNA". The record is from RNAcentral.